UAGAAAGCAAUGACAGCAGCUCCGUGGACGUGGACGUCCUACCCAUGGCAGACCAUCCACAUGGGAGGAAGCCACGAGAGAGAAAGGAUUCCUACCUUGUACUUGGAGAUGAGACCACCGGGGCUCUGUUUUUGUGCAAGUAACUGUUCAGCUGUCCUCAUGCACAACUCAAGUUCCUUCUGGGACUCCUCCACCUUCCGCCUGCUGUCUGACUCUGGUGACACAACGGUCUUCAAUGCUGCAGCAAGUUUUACCAUGGUGAUCUGUAAAGACAACAAAACAAAACAAAAAGCUCAAAAUUGGCCCAACUUCUGAGUACAUUUAUAAGCUACCAAAUGUUUUCUUCCAGUAGAAAUUUAUAUUUUUCCAGGAAACA
Molecule: long non-coding RNA, 376 nt
Filed under: Fukomys damarensis (Damara mole-rat)
Lineage: Eukaryota; Metazoa; Chordata; Mammalia; Rodentia; Bathyergidae
Description: lncRNA (ENSFDAG00000022302.1)
Source: RNAcentral